RNAcentral lists this ribosomal RNA (468 nucleotides) under uncultured bacterium. Its description in RNAcentral is "partial 16S ribosomal RNA". It matches the Rfam family "Bacterial small subunit ribosomal RNA", at positions 28 to 507 of the family's 1533-position model. The record is from RNAcentral.
GACGAACGCUGGCGGCGUGCUUAACACAUGCAAGUCGAACGGAAAGGCCCUGCUUUUGUGGGGUGCUCGUGUGGCGAACGGGUGAGUAACACGCGAGUAACCUGCCCUUGACUUUGGGAUAACUUUAGGAAACUGGGGCUAAUACCGGAUAGGAGCUCCUGCUGCACGGUGGGGGUUGGAAAGUUUCGGCGGUUGGGGAUGGACUCGCGGCUUAUCAGCUUGUUGGUGGGGUAGUGGCUUACCAAGGCUUAGACGGGUAGCCGGCGUGGGAGGGUGACCGGCGACAUUGGGCCUAAGAUACGCAGCAGACUCCUACGGGAGGCAGCAGUGGGGAGUAUUGCGCAAUGGGCGGAAGCCUGAUGCAGCAACGCCGCGUGCGGGAUGACGGCCUUCGGGGUAUAAACCGCUUUCGCCUGUGACGAAGCGUGAGUGACGGUAAUGGGUAAAGAAGCACCGGCUAACUACGUG